GCAGUACUAGUUUUAUUCUUUGAACAAAAUAAAAUGUAUAAAAAAAUUCAUGUUUUUGCUAAUAUAGUUGAUUUUAGAAUUGACAUUGGAGGUUUUCUUGAAGAGUUAAAGAUUAGUUAAAAUGACUUUCAAGGAUCAAAGAUGGUAUUGUAGAUAAUGCAUUAUUGAGGUGUUCUCAGUUUGUUGUUUACUUUUCAAAUUUCUUGAUGUCUAGUAAAAUUAAUGAGCUUGUCAUUCACUUAAACAGCUUAGUCUAUUGACGUGGAAUGUAUUAGUGAUAA
This 281-nucleotide unclassified non-coding RNA is filed under the name Hevea brasiliensis (rubber tree). The record is from RNAcentral. Lineage: Eukaryota; Viridiplantae; Streptophyta; Magnoliopsida; Malpighiales; Euphorbiaceae.